Homo sapiens (human) is the source of this 509-nucleotide long non-coding RNA. Ensembl annotates it as long intergenic non-protein coding RNA 511. NCBI's taxonomy places the organism in Eukaryota, Metazoa, Chordata, Mammalia, Primates, Hominidae. The record is from Ensembl.
AGAGUUCUUGUUCACAGAGCACAGCUGCGGGGGCUGUCAGGGGCAUGGACUCCCUCUAUGGGCAGGAGGAUAUGGGCCUUUCCCCAGUCUGGCUGAGCCCACCUUAUCCCAUUGGAGGACUUGAGGUCCUUCCAAUAAGGCCCUGCCUAUAGAGUGUGAACCGGGACCAUCCGAGGGGGUGAUGAGAUUCAUCCUAAAACAAUAUAGAGUGGUGGAGGAGAGAUGUUGGUGAAACUUGACCUCUUGCAGAAAGGGGAAGAUUCUGGGCUCUGUACAUGGACAACCUGCAGGAGGAAGGGGGACCCAGUCUCUGAAGCACAGUGCACUACCGAGAAAAGAUGCUUCCCUGUCCGUGCAGGCACCUGGGUGCAGCAGAACAGGUAUUUUUCCCUCUCCACCCUGGUCUUCUCCUGUAACGUGUGGCCGCCUUUUCCAGCACGGCCUCCUGCCUUCCUGGUGCACUUUUUGGAGAACGUGGUGGAAUCAGAGGUUUCUGGCUGACUCGGUGG